CUUUGAAUUUAAUGAUAACAAAAUAAAUAUAAAUACAAAUACAAAUAAAAAACUAAAUUCCAUGAUCUCAUAACAGUGUUGUAUUGGUAACAUUUUAGAAUAAGUUUAUUUAAUGGAUUGAUAAGUUUACUUUGCUCGUUUCUCUGGGAACGGUAAACAACAUUAUGUGCUAUUCCGUUUGAUAUAAGUUUUCUACAGGUGCAUUUUUCUCAUUGUCAAUAAUACGACACCUCCUUAAUUUCUAUAUAUGUUUAGAUAUCUCAGC
RNAcentral lists this long non-coding RNA (265 nucleotides) under Mytilus galloprovincialis (Mediterranean mussel). Lineage: Eukaryota; Metazoa; Mollusca; Bivalvia; Mytilida; Mytilidae. The record is from RNAcentral.